GACGAACGCUGGCGGCGUGCUUAACACAUGCAAGUCGAACGGUGAAGCUCCAGCUUGCUGGAGUGGAUCAGUGGCGAACGGGUGAGUAACACGUGAGCAACCUGCCCCUGACUCUGGAAUAAGCGCUGGAAACGGCGUCUAAUACUGGAUACGAGAAGGGCCCGCAUGGGCACUUUCUGGAAAGUUUUUCGGUUGGGGAUGGGCUCGCGGCCUAUCAGCUUGUUGGUGAGGUAAUGGCUUACCAAGGCGACGACGGGUAGCCGGCCUGAGAGGGCGACCGGCCACACUGGGACUGAGACACGGCCCAGACUCCUACGGGAGGCAGCAGUGGGGAAUAUUGCACAAUGGGCGAAAGCCUGAUGCAGCGACGCCGCGUGAGGGAUGACGGCCUUCGGGUUGUAAACCUCUUUCAGCAGGGAAGAAGCGAAAGUGACGGUACCUGCAGAAGAAGCACCGGCUAACUACGUG
This 468-nucleotide ribosomal RNA is filed under the name uncultured bacterium. Its description in RNAcentral is "partial 16S ribosomal RNA". It matches the Rfam family "Bacterial small subunit ribosomal RNA", at positions 28 to 507 of the family's 1533-position model. The record is from RNAcentral.